Long non-coding RNA from Oncorhynchus tshawytscha (Chinook salmon), 656 nucleotides. RefSeq lists it as uncharacterized. The transcript has 2 exons. Lineage: Eukaryota; Metazoa; Chordata; Actinopteri; Salmoniformes; Salmonidae. The record is from RefSeq and is a predicted model, not a curated record.
UGGCUGAGCUCAGCAGCACCUGACUGGUAACUAUUCUUCCCUGGCCUAGCUCAGCAGCACCUGACUGGUAACUAUUCUUCCCUGGCUGAGCUCAGCAGCACCUGACUGGUAACUAUUCUUCCCUGGCCUAGCUCAGCAGCACCUGACUGGUAACUACUCUUCCCUGGCUGAGCUCAGCAGCACCUGACUGGAAGGGCCAAUCAGAGGACUGUGUCGACGACAUGAUCAGGGACUAUGUCAUCCUACACCAAGCAGCCCAGACAAACCUCCCACAUGGCAGCCAGCCCAGACAAACCUCCCACAUGGCAACCAGCCCAGACAAACCUCCCACAUGGCAACCAGCCCAGACAAACCUCCCACAUGGCAGCUAGGAAUCAGAACCCUCCCCGGUGACCAGGUUUUAUAGAGGGCAUCACAACCCUCCCUGGUGCCCAGGCUUCAUAGAGGGCAUCACAACCCUCCCUGGUGACCAGGCUUCAUAGAGGGCAUCACAACCCUCCCUGGUGACCAGGCUUCAUAGAGGGCAUCACAACCCUCCCUGGUGACCAGGCUUCAUAGAGGGCAUCACAACCCUCCCUGGUGACCAGGCUUCAUAGAGGGCAUCACAACCCUCCCUGGUGACCAGGCUCCAUAGAGGGCAUCACAACCCUCAUCAC